Molecule: ribosomal RNA, 492 nt
Filed under: uncultured bacterium
Lineage: Bacteria
Description: partial 16S ribosomal RNA
Rfam family: Bacterial small subunit ribosomal RNA
Source: RNAcentral
AGUGAACGCUGGCGGUAGGCCUAACACAUGCAAGUCGAACGGCAGCACAGUAAGAGCUUGCUCUUACGGGUGGCGAGUGGCGGACGGGUGAGGAAUACAUCGGAAUCUACUUUUUCGUGGGGGAUAACGUAGGGAAACUUACGCUAAUACCGCAUACGACCUACGGGUGAAAGCAGGGGAUCUUCGGACCUUGCGCGAUUGAAUGAGCCGAUGUCGGAUUAGCUAGUUGGCGGGGUAAAGGCCCACCAAGGCGACGAUCCGUAGCUGGUCUGAGAGGAUGAUCAGCCGCACUGGAACGGGGACACGGUCCAGGCUCCUACGGGAGGCAGCAGUCGGGAAUAUGAGACAAUGGGCGCAAGCCUGAUCCAGCCAUACCGCGUGGGUGAAGAAGGCCUUCGGGUUGUAAAGCCCUUUUGUUGGGAGAGAAAAGCAGCAGGUUAAUACCCCGCUGUUCUGACGGUACCCAAAGAAUAAGCACCGGCUAACUUCGUG